Molecule: non-coding RNA, 127 nt
Organism: Fukomys damarensis (Damara mole-rat)
Lineage: Eukaryota; Metazoa; Chordata; Mammalia; Rodentia; Bathyergidae
Source: Rfam
GGCAGAUCAGUAGUUUUCUGGGAUUAUAAAGUAGGGGAUUAAUGCACAAAUGCAAAAAAUAAGUCCUCUUUUGCAACCCACAAGUCAUUGUUCAGAAUGACUUUUGAUAUAUGUAAGAAGAAAUAUU